CAGCAGUAGCCGCGGGAACACGGAGGGUGCAAGCGUUAUCCGGAUUUAUUGGGUUUAAAUGGUCCGUAGGCGGACUUAUAAGUCAGUGGUGAAAGCCUGUCGCUUAACGAUAGAACUGCCAUUGAUACUGUAAGUCUUGAGUAUAUUUGAGGUAGCUGGAAUAAGUAGUGUAGCGGUGAAAUGCAUAGAUAUUACUUAGAACACCAAUUGCGAAGGCAGGUUACCAAGAUAUAACUGACGCUGAGGGACGAAAGCGUGGGUAGCGAACAGGAUUAGAUACCCGUGUAGUCCCUGUCUCUUAUAU
RNAcentral lists this ribosomal RNA (304 nucleotides) under uncultured bacterium. RNAcentral describes it as "partial 16S ribosomal RNA". It matches the Rfam family "Bacterial small subunit ribosomal RNA", at positions 506 to 809 of the family's 1533-position model. The record is from RNAcentral.